Molecule: long non-coding RNA, 2130 nt
Organism: Canis lupus familiaris (dog)
Lineage: Eukaryota; Metazoa; Chordata; Mammalia; Carnivora; Canidae
Exons: 5
Source: RefSeq, a predicted model, not a curated record
CUGGGAUGAGAGCGCAUCAGAGGAUUCCUAAGCAGGGGGGUGGGCUCCCUGCAUCCCCCAGUGCGAGUUCCUCCAUCCUUCUCUGCAUCAUCUCUAGCCUUCCAUCAUAGAUGACCAGUGCUUUUUCCUCUUAGUUUGUUUAAACUCUGGCUGCUGCCUGAUUUCAGGGCUUUACUGUGUAGACUGAGCAACUAGAGAGGUGCCAGGACUACGAUAUGUUGAAGCCGUGAUACAGCUGAAAGUUGGGAUACAGGGAAGAAUUGUUAUUUCUGGGCCAGCUGUGGGUUGCUGCAGUCACAUGACUAGUUCUGGCCAGUGAGAGUGGGGAGUGAGAGAACUGCAUCACACUUCCAGGUAUGCCUUCUCUCUUGUUGCUGUUGAUUCAAUCAGUCAACCAACAAGUAUUUAUCAUGCUUUACUAUGUGCUCAGAACUCUAUCGGGAGCCAAGGAAGAUAACAGAAAAAAACAUGGCCUCUGUCCUCAAGGAACAAUUUAAAAUAUAGUUAUCCUGUCAAAUCUGCAUUACCCAAGACCUUCUGCGAGCCUUCAGUCAGCAGUCAGCCAGCCUAGAAAUAUUUAUUACACAUUGCUGUGCGCCUGGGGUACAGAGAGUGGAUGAGUCGGACAAGGUCCUAGUUCACAUAGAGCUUACAUUCCAGUAGAAGAAAGAAGCAAGUUCAGAAAUGGAGAGCCAGCUCACAUUGGAUGUCUUCAUCAACCUGGACUACACACAUGGUGAGUGAAGGCAGAACAAUGACAAUUGAAAAUGCAGGCCAAUCUCCCACAGCUUCCUAGAUGCAAAAAAAUGUAUCAGUGACCACUCUACAACAUUCAUUGUGGGAGGCUCAAAGUGACUAUAUUUUAUUGCAUUGCAAAGCAGCGUGCCAAGGACUUAACCCAGCUCCAUAACCAUAGCAGGUGCCUCAUCAACACAUUAUAUAUGGAGAUUAUGAUGAAGCUCAUAUAUACGCACAGUGUCUUAGGAGGCCUGGAACCUACUCCUAGGGUACAUGCAAAAUGUCAGAAGAGGAGUCAAUGCAGUCCAGAAAGCCAUAUUAUUGAGUGCCCACUGGAUUCCAGGCUAAUUCUAGGCAUCAAGAUGAAUUGGAAGAUGGCAGCCAGUUCCUACUCAGAAGGAAGGAAGUGUGAAGAGGCAAACGAUGAUAGCUGGAGUGAAGCAGCACAGCCUAUUUCAGGAAUCAUGGCAACAGGUGGACUAGGAAGACAGAGAUAUUGAAACCAUUGAACCGCCUGGUGGGUGCCCAGCCAGUACCCCAGGGCGGGUAUCGGGGCACUGAAAUCUGGGAUGGGAGGCUGCAGCAGGCCACUCGGGUACCCGACACCCCCUCCAGCACUGCCCUGAGGGCCCCCCUUCAUAACCCUGCCCUGUAUCCCCUUCUUUCAUGUAAACUACAUAAACAGUCUAUUUUCCUUCCCUCUCUCGCUGAGGAUUUGUAUUAGAUGGAAGCCACUUACUGGACAUUUCAAUGAAGCAGUUGUUCUAUUUGGACCAAAACCUAUGAGCACCCAGACACAUCUAAGACCUGCGUGUUGCUCUCUGAGCCUAAAAGAACUGACUUUCAGAUAAUGAUGUCCCUUUUAUCUUUAAAGGAGGGUGGAGCCUGAAGGGGGAUCCAGUCCCAAUCACCAGGUGUGUGCUGAACUAUAUGCAUUAGCUUUAAAGACAUACAUUAGGGCUUGGAGGUGAGUCUGUGGCGUUGAGCUUUGGCAAGAUGCCCUGCUUUUAGGCAGAUUGUAAAUUAUAAAUAAAUAGUCUCUGUUCUUCUUUUGCUUCAGCAUGUAAUGAAAAACAACAGAGCCCUGCCUGCACAAUUCUUCUGUUUCCGCCUCAGAUUUGCUGUUAACAGUUCCUGACUGGAAAUGACUCCAGGCAGUCACAGACACUGGCUUUUAUUAUCAUGUCGGCGUCUUAUUUAAAUCCACAGUUCCCAGACAUCAAUUUAGCAAAGCCUCUCUCACCCCAUGGGGAUGUGGAUGCACCCUCAGAGCCAAACAUCAAGCUCCCUGUUGUUGUGGGGGAGGUGUGAUUGUGGCCCACCCUGGUGUGGAUGUAAGACAACGGGUCUUUAGAUUAUUUAGCAGCAAAAGCAAGAGAAGGAAUCUGGAGC